Molecule: ribosomal RNA, 496 nt
Filed under: uncultured bacterium
Lineage: Bacteria
Description: partial 16S ribosomal RNA
Rfam family: Bacterial small subunit ribosomal RNA
Source: RNAcentral
AUGAACGCUGGCGGCGUGCCUAAUACAUGCAAGUCGAGCGAACAGACGAGGAGCUUGCUCCUUCGACGUUAGCGGCGGACGGGUGAGUAACACGUAGGUAACCUACCUAUAAGACUGGGAUAACUUCGGGAAACCGGAGCUAAUACCGGAUAAUAUUUCGAACCGCAUGGUUCGAUAGUGAAAGAUGGCUUUGCUAUCACUUAUAGAUGGACCUGCGCCGUAUUAGCUAGUUGGUAAGGUAACGGCUUACCAAGGCAACGAUACGUAGCCGACCUGAGAGGGUGAUCGGCCACACUGGAACUGAGACACGGUCCAGACUCCUACGGGAGGCAGCAGUAGGGAAUCUUCCGCAAUGGGCGAAAGCCUGACGGAGCAACGCCGCGUGAGUGAUGAAGGUCUUCGGAUUGUAAAACUCUGUUAUUAGGGAAGAACAAACGUGUAAGUAACUGUGCACGUCUUGACGGUACCUAAUCAGAAAGCCACGGCUAACUACGUG